CAACAGUUACUGAACCCUAUCAAACUCCGAAUGCCAUAUACUUGUACCCCGGCAGUCAGACUACGAAUGAUAAGAUCCGUGGUCAAAAGGGAAACAGCCCAGACCAUCAGCUAAGGUCCCAAAGUGUAAGUUAAGUGGGAAAGGAUGUGGGAUUUCUAAGACAACUAGGAUGUUGGCUUAGAAGCAGCCACUCAUUUAAAGAGUGCGUAAUAGCUCACUAGUCGAGAGAUCCUGCGCCGAAGAUGUAACGGGGCUCAAACUUACCACCGAAGCUAUGGAUGUGUACUUUGUACACGUGGUAGAGGAGCUUUCUGUACAGGUUGAAGUCAUACCGUAAGGAGUGGUGGACAGUACAGAAGUGAGAAUGCUGGCAUAAGUAGCGAAAAACAAGUGAGAAUCUUGUUGACCGAAUAUCUAAGGUUUCCUGGGGAAGGCUCGUCCUCCCAGGGUUAGUCGGGCCCUACGCCGAGGCCGAAAGGCGUAGGUGAUGGACAACUGGUUGAUAUUCCAGUACCACCAUAAUGCGUUUGACAAAUGGGAUGACGCAGGAGGAUAGGAUGUGCGCACUAUUGGAUGUGCGUCUAAGCACUUAGGGUGUUAAGUAGGCAAAUCCGCUUAACAUUAAGCCUG
Molecule: ribosomal RNA, 630 nt
Filed under: Clostridium botulinum C
Lineage: Bacteria; Bacillati; Bacillota; Clostridia; Eubacteriales; Clostridiaceae
Description: partial 23S ribosomal RNA
Rfam family: Bacterial large subunit ribosomal RNA
Source: RNAcentral